This 325-nucleotide long non-coding RNA is filed under the name Solanum tuberosum (potato). RNAcentral's name for it is "long non-coding RNA (STUB_LNC003865)". The record is from RNAcentral. Lineage: Eukaryota; Viridiplantae; Streptophyta; Magnoliopsida; Solanales; Solanaceae.
CUUUUUUUUUUUUUUUGGUGGUUGGGUGGGGGGGGGGGGGGGGGAGCAUCAUAUAGAGAUAAUAAUAAUUCGACUUCAUUUGCUUUAACAAACUGCUUACACAACUAAAAUUAAUUACCUCCAGCCCAAGAAACUAGUUGGAGACACAAGUCGAGACCCCAGAUUUGCUAGUGUCUUAUCGGUACAGUUCUACUCAUGGAUGGGAACUAUUUUUUUGAACAAAUUGUGAAGAUUAGGAGGUUGAGAGGAUAACUUAGACCUCAAAUAAAUUGGAAAGAAAACGAGUUUCACCAAAUGUGCCGGAUUACCAGAAGAAGGAUGGAAG